Long non-coding RNA from Thalassophryne amazonica, 138 nucleotides. RefSeq lists it as uncharacterized. The record is from RefSeq and is a predicted model, not a curated record. The transcript is spliced from 3 exons. Lineage: Eukaryota; Metazoa; Chordata; Actinopteri; Batrachoidiformes; Batrachoididae.
CCACACAAACACAUGGAGAACAUGUAAAGUCCACACAGAAAGGCCACAGAUGGAAAUCGAUCCCCAGACCUCCUUGCUGUGUGGUAACAGUGCUAACCACUAAUCCACUGUGCUGCCCUUGAAAUUAUCAAUAUUUUU